UGGGGGCAACCCUGAUCCAGCAAUGCCGCGUGAGUGAUGAAGGCCUUAGGGUUGUAAAGCUCUUUUACCCGGGAUGAUAAUGACAGUACCGGGAGAAUAAGCCCCGGCUAACUCCGUGCCAGCAGCCGCGGUAAUACGGAGGGGGCUAGCGUUGUUCGGAAUUACUGGGCGUAAAGC
Molecule: ribosomal RNA, 177 nt
Filed under: uncultured Sphingobium sp.
Lineage: Bacteria; Pseudomonadati; Pseudomonadota; Alphaproteobacteria; Sphingomonadales; Sphingobiaceae
Description: partial 16S ribosomal RNA
Rfam family: Bacterial small subunit ribosomal RNA
Source: RNAcentral